Papaver somniferum (opium poppy) is the source of this 1933-nucleotide RNA transcript. RefSeq lists it as uncharacterized. Lineage: Eukaryota; Viridiplantae; Streptophyta; Magnoliopsida; Ranunculales; Papaveraceae. The record is from RefSeq and is a predicted model, not a curated record. The transcript has 4 exons.
AAUGCUCAGAAAGAAAAAACGCACAGAAAAACAUAAAGUCUCUACCGUUUCAUUUCAUUCAAUGGAAUUGAACUCGGACUUGAAUUCACACACCAGGUAUAAAAAAAGAAGAAAAUCAGAGUUUUGUUACCCCAAGUUUGAAGACACGUUUUCUGGAUCAUCACUUUCAUGUUUCUUUGUGCGGAAAAAAUUCUCAAUCUCAUGUAUGAUUCGUUUGGGUAUCUCAAAUUGGGGUUCUUAUUUCUUUCUCUCAAUGUUUGGUUUUUAUUUUUCGCCUAGCAAAAGGUAAGCCGUAGAUUUCUGAUUCGCAUUUUUUUAUAACUAUCGAUUCACUAAUGGCGUAACUACUACAGCACGUCAUCCAUCCCGGAAAGCUUAGGUAUGUAUCGGUUUCCUCACAAUUAACAUUACUGUAAUUUUACUUUUAGCACAUGUAUUACAUUUCAUACAUUAGCUUUAGUGGAACGAUCCUGAUAUAUCUAUAUUUCUAAUCUUCUAUGUUGUUUAAUUGCUAUUUUUUUUUAUUUUUUUUUUGGUUUUGAAACAAUCAAUUGUUAAGCCUAGACGUUCUUGGGUUCAGACGAAUUUAGCUAGAACUGGGCGUAUUUGUGCAUCUUACAUUUUUUGUGAACCGUUGUCUUAAAUAAUAUCUAUGGUAGAAAAGGAGUGUAUGAUCCUUAUUUACGAAGUUUUGAUAAUGUCAACAGGGUAAGUGUGAUUAUGGACUUAAAGAGUGUUCGAAAAAAAUGCUUGAAAAGUAGUUUUAGCUGGUGUAAAACAGGAAUGCCAGUAGCCGAAAAGCAAUAAGUUAGGCUAAAAGUUUGCUAUAUAUAUAUAUAUUUAGGUCGGCCGUGUCGUAGCUUAUUAAGGAAAAUUGGUAAGUUUUGGCUACAACAUCCAAGCCAAACUUUCAGUCAAUGAAAAAUAAGGUACUGAUGACAGAACGUAAAUUUUAGUUUGAAGUAUUAAUCUGUGGUUUUUGUUAAUAGCGGUUCCAGAAAUCACCAUUGGAACUGUAAGUUUGAUUUUGGACGUAUUUCGUUUGUUACUUUAUCUGAAAUAUCUAUUUGAUUUAGUUGUUCAUCUUGAGUGUUCCUUACAAAAUCUUUGAUCUAUUUUUGCAGAUUUUUAUCGGCAGGGGAUAUAUUGGGAGACAAGCCAGCAUCCAGCUCAUGUACGUAUCGGCUUCGAUACGGUAAAUGUCAAUAGAAUUUCACUUGAUUUGAUUUGCUUUGGGAUGUAUUAAGUAAGGGUCGACUUGAUUUGUAUAUUAAGUGGAAGGUUUAUGAAUUAAACCAUUCACCGAGUUGUUCGUAUAACUGACUUUAGUGGAGAAGAAUGAGAAGUCAGGAAAUAAUUUAAUGAUCAAGAAUGAUUUUAUUUGUUUAGAAUGAGUUCGCAAAUGUUUGAUGAGAUUUGUGGUUACUUUGCUGCUUUUACAAAAAUGUUGCUACGAUCAAAAAAAAUGUCACUAUCGCGGUUUACUUGAAAAAGACUAUGACUUUGUUGUAGGUGGAAAAAUUGAAGUUUGAGUUUGAGAAUUGCUUUAUCAUGGAAGCAGCGUCUUGGCACAGGAGGAUGAUAUCUUAUCGCUGCUUUCUGAGGGGAAAAAUCCUGAGGAUUUGAUGAUUGAUGUCAAUAUUAAUGAUGAAAUCUCGAGAAAGUCAUGGACUGCACCGAGCUGAUUGUUGAACAAAUAUCAAACAAAAAGUUGAAGGUGUUGGCUGGGAAGUGAAUAUUUAGAAAUGUUGAGCCAUGCCUACAAGUUGGAGAUUCUUAAUAUGUACAAGUGAAGGUAUAUGGCAGACAUGCAGCACAUGAUUACUUCCCUUGAAGAAAAAGACAAGUGUACAAGCAUAUUAGAACAUCGAAAACGCCAGUCUCCCUCACCUAAAGCAGCGAUACUUAAGUACUGAACUAUAUUGCAUCAGAG